Molecule: ribosomal RNA, 744 nt
Filed under: uncultured soil archaeon
Lineage: Archaea
Description: bacterial SSU rRNA
Rfam family: Archaeal small subunit ribosomal RNA (bases 2-486)
Source: RNAcentral
UCUGGUUGAUCCUGCCCGACCCGACUGCUAUCAGAGUGGGACUAAGCCAUGCGAGUCAACGUAAAAAUACGAGGCAAACGGCUCAGUAACACGUAGUCAACAUGCCCAGGGGACGUGGAUAACCUCGGGAAACUGAGGAUAAACCGCGAUAGGCCAUGAUUUCUGGAAUGGUUCAUGGCCGAAAUCUAUAUGGCCCCUGGAUUGGACUGCGGCCGAUCAGGCUGUUGGUGAGGUAAUGGCCCACCAAACCUGUAACCGGUACGGGCUCUGAGAGGAGGAGCCCGGACAUGGGCACUGAUACAAGGGCCCUGGCCCUAUGGGGCGCAGCAGGCGCAAAAUCUCUGCAGUAGGCUACAGCUUGACUAGGUUACUCAGAGUGAUUCCCGCCAAGGGGAUCUUUUGGCACCUCUGCAGAUGGUGCAGAAUUUGGGGUGGGCUAAUUUGGUGUCAGCCGCCGCAGUGAUACCAACACCCCGAGUGGACGGGACUAAUAUUGGCCCUGAAGCGUUCUUAGCCAUUGCUGAAGUUCCUCGCCUGCAGCCCCCUGCACGGCCUGUGUGCUUAUCUGAAUACCACUCUGCGGGCUCCUCCUCUCGGAGCCCGGUACGUUUGGGUUUGGUGGAACAUACCUCACCAAUGAAGACCAUCAGUGCAAACGAUCAAGCCGCAUAUAAUUUUGAUCAACACUGUUCCAUGUUUCUGGAAAUAUCACGGUAUACCCUCGAUUUCCCGCUAUAUACACAC